Molecule: ribosomal RNA, 466 nt
Filed under: uncultured bacterium
Lineage: Bacteria
Description: partial 16S ribosomal RNA
Rfam family: Bacterial small subunit ribosomal RNA
Source: RNAcentral
GAUGAACGCUGGCGGCGUGCUUAACACAUGCAAGUCGAACGAUGAAGCCCAGCUUACUGGGUGGAUUAGUGGCGAACGGGUGAGUAACACGUGAGUAACCUGCCCUUAACUCUGGGAUAAGCCUGGGAAACUGGGUCUAAUACCGGAUAGGAGCGUCCACCGCAUGGUGGGUGUUGGAAAGAUUUAUCGGUUUUGGAUGGACUCGCGGCCUAUCAGCUUGUUGGUGAGGUAAUGGCUCACCAAGGCGACGACGGGUAGCCGGCCUGAGAGGGUGACCGGCCACACUGGGACUGAGACACGGCCCAGACUCCUACGGGAGGCAGCAGUGGGGAAUAUUGCACAAUGGGCGCAAGCCUGAUGCAGCGACGCCGCGUGAGGGAUGACGGCCUUCGGGUUGUAAACCUCUUUCAGUAGGGAAGAAGCGAAAGUGACGGUACCUGCAGAAGAAGCACCGGCUAACUACGUG